This 266-nucleotide ribosomal RNA is filed under the name Haemaphysalis leachi. Its description in RNAcentral is "partial 18S ribosomal RNA". It matches the Rfam family "Eukaryotic small subunit ribosomal RNA", at positions 583 to 853 of the family's 1831-position model. The record is from RNAcentral. Lineage: Eukaryota; Metazoa; Arthropoda; Arachnida; Ixodida; Ixodidae.
UUCCAGCUCCAAUAGCGUAUACUAAAGCUGCUGCGGUUAAAAAGCUCGUAGUUGGAUCUCAGUUCCAGACGAGUAGUGCAUCUACCCGAUGCGACGGCUCGGACUGAACAUCAUGCCGGUCGUUUCUUGGUGCACUUCAUUGUGUGCCUCGAGAUGGCCGGUGCUUUUACUUUGAAAAAAUUAGAGUGCUCAACGCAGGCGAGUCGCCUGAAUAAACUUGCAUGGAAUAAUAGAACAAGACCUCGUUUCUGUUCUGUUGGUUUUGG